RNAcentral lists this ribosomal RNA (395 nucleotides) under uncultured bacterium. Its description in RNAcentral is "bacterial SSU rRNA". It matches the Rfam family "Bacterial small subunit ribosomal RNA", at positions 97 to 507 of the family's 1533-position model. The record is from RNAcentral.
GGCGCACGGGUGCGUAACGCGUGGGAAUCUGCCCUUGGGUACGGAAUAACUCAGAGAAAUUUGUGCUAAUACCGUAUAAUGACUUCGGUCCAAAGAUUUAUCGCCCAAGGAUGAGCCCGCGUAAGAUUAGCUAGUUGGUGGGGUAAAAGCCCACCAAGGCGACGAUCUUUAGCUGGUCUGAGAGGAUGAUCAGCCACACUGGGACUGAGACACGGCCCAGACUCCUACGGGAGGCAGCAGUAGGGAAUAUUGGACAAUGGGCGGAAGCCUGAUCCAGCCAUGCCGCGUGGAGGAUUAAGGCCCUCUGGGUUGUAAACUCCUUUUAUCUGGGAAGAACCAUUCCGACUUGUCGGAACAUGACGGUACCAGAGGAAUAAGCACCGGCUAACUCCGUG